CAGUCGAACGAAGCACUUUAAUCGAUUUCUUCGGAUUGAAAUUUUAGUGACUGAUUGGCGGACGGGUGAGUAACGCGUGGGUAACCUGCCUCACACAGGGGGAUAACAGUUGGAAACGGCUGCUAAUACCGCAUAAGCGCACAGUACCGCAUGGUACGGUGUGAAAAACUCCGGUGGUGUGAGAUGGACCCGCGUCUGAUUAGCUAGUUGGCAGGGCAACGGCCUACCAAGGCGACGAUCAGUAGCCGACCUGAGAGGGUGACCGGCCACAUUGGGACUGAGACACGGCCCAAACUCCUACGGGAGGCAGCAGUGGGGAAUAUUGCACAAUGGGGGAAACCCUGAUGCAGCGACGCCGCGUGAGCGAAGAAGUAUUUCGGUAUGUAAAGCUCUAUCAGCAGGGAAGAAGAAAUGACGGUACCUGACUAAGAAGCACCAGCUAAAUACGUGCCAGCAGCCGCGGUAAUACGUAUGGUGCAAGCGUUAUCCGGAUCUACUGGGUGUAAAGGGAGCGCAGGCGGAAGGCUAAGUCUGAUGUGAAAGCCCGGGGCUCAACCCCGGUACUGCAUUGGAAACUGGUCAUCUAGAGUGU
This 592-nucleotide ribosomal RNA is filed under the name uncultured bacterium. Its description in RNAcentral is "bacterial SSU rRNA". It matches the Rfam family "Bacterial small subunit ribosomal RNA", at positions 59 to 649 of the family's 1533-position model. The record is from RNAcentral.